Molecule: ribosomal RNA, 521 nt
Filed under: Dellaglioa carnosa
Lineage: Bacteria; Bacillati; Bacillota; Bacilli; Lactobacillales; Lactobacillaceae
Description: bacterial SSU rRNA
Rfam family: Bacterial small subunit ribosomal RNA
Source: RNAcentral
CGUUCCCUUCGGGGACAGAAUGACAGGUGGUGCAUGGUUGUCGUCAGCUCGUGUCGUGAGAUGUUGGGUUAAGUCCCGCAACGAGCGCAACCCUUAUUAUUAGUUGCCAGCAUUUAGUUGGGCACUCUAAUGAGACUGCCGGUGACAAACCGGAGGAAGGUGGGGAUGACGUCAAAUCAUCAUGCCCCUUAUGACCUGGGCUACACACGUGCUACAAUGGACGGUACAACGAGUUGCGAGACCGCGAGGUUAAGCUAAUCUCUUAAAGCCGUUCUCAGUUCGGAUUGUAGGCUGCAACUCGCCUACAUGAAGUUGGAAUCGCUAGUAAUCGCGGAUCAGAAUGCCGCGGUGAAUACGUUCCCGGGCCUUGUACACACCGCCCGUCACACCAUGAGAGUUUGUAACACCCAAAGCCGGUGAGGUAACCUUUUAGGAGCCAGCCGUCUAAGGUGGGACAGAUGAUUAGGGUGAAGUCGUAACAAGGUAGCCGUAGGAGAACCUGCGGCUGGAUCACCUCCUUU